CGUAGGCUGCUAAUUCAAAAUAGAGUUAAAGACUGAGGUAGGCCCUCUUUCAGCUGUAUUUACUGAUUAGCUGAGUUCUAAAGGGAUAUAUUGAAUUCCUUAAGUAAGGGUUAAAUUGUUGAUAUUGGAAGACAUUCGAAAGCGAAAGCAUUUAUCGAUUUAGAUCUGACGCUAGGUACUAAAGUAUGGGUAUGAAGAGGAUUAGAGACCUUGUAGUCCAUACCUUAAACUAUGAGUGUUCAACGUCCUUUUGUAGUGGAACUUUGAAUUUUUAUUUAGAGAACCGUGGUACUCAAGGGGGUUUAAAGCUAACGCGUGAAACACCGCCUGGGGAAUGUGGCCGCAAGGUUAAACUCAAAGGAAUUGAGGAGGCUUGUACAAAG
This 383-nucleotide ribosomal RNA is filed under the name Diderma niveum. Its description in RNAcentral is "partial small subunit ribosomal RNA". It matches the Rfam family "Bacterial small subunit ribosomal RNA", at positions 570 to 930 of the family's 1533-position model. The record is from RNAcentral. Lineage: Eukaryota; Evosea; Eumycetozoa; Physariida; Didymiaceae.